Molecule: ribosomal RNA, 450 nt
Filed under: uncultured bacterium
Lineage: Bacteria
Description: partial 16S ribosomal RNA
Rfam family: Bacterial small subunit ribosomal RNA
Source: RNAcentral
GUGGGGAAUAUUGGACAAUGGGCGCAAGCCUGAUCCAGCCAUACCGCGUGGGUGAAGAAGGCCUUCGGGUUGUAAAGCCCUUUUGUUGGGAAAGAAAUCCUGUCGGUUAAUACCUGGCGGGGAUGACGGUACCCAAAGAAUAAGCACCGGCUAACUUCGUGCCAGCAGCCGCGGUAAUACGAAGGGUGCAAGCGUUACUCGGAAUUACUGGGCGUAAGGCGUGCGUAGGUGGUGGUUUAAGUCCGUUGUGAAAGCCCUGGGCUCAACCUGGGAAUUGCAGUGGAUACUGGAUCACUAGAGUGUGGUAGAGGGAUGCGGAAUUUCUGGUGUAGCAGUGAAAUGCGUAGAGAUCAGAAGGAACAUCCGUGGCGAAGGCGGCAUCCUGGGCCAACACUGACACUGAGGCACGAAAGCGUGGGGAGCAAACAGGAUUAGAUACCCUAGUAGUCC